CCUACGCGAGGCAGCAGUGGGGGAUAUUGGACAAUGGGGGAAACCCUGAUCCAGCGACGCCGCGUGAGUGAAGAAGUAUUUCGGUAUGUAAAGCUCUGUCAGCAGGGAAGAAAGAAAUGACGGUACCUGACCAAGAAGCCCCGGCUAACUACGUGCCAGCAGCCGCGGUAAGACGUAGGGGGCAAGCGUUAUCCGGAAUUACGGGGUGUAAAGGUGGCGCAGACGGCAGGGCAAGCCAGGCGGGCAAGCCCGGGGCCCAACCCCGGGACUGCUCUUUGAACUGGGCGGCUGGAGUGCGGGAGAGGCAUGCGGAAUUCCUGGUGUAGCGGUGAAAUGCAUAGAUAUCGGGAAGAACCCCGGUGGCGAAGGCAGCCUGCUGGACUGCGACUGACGUUGAGGCCCGAAAGCGUGGGGAGCAAACAGGAUUAGAUACCCUGGUAGUC
RNAcentral lists this ribosomal RNA (443 nucleotides) under uncultured bacterium. RNAcentral's name for it is "partial 16S ribosomal RNA". It matches the Rfam family "Bacterial small subunit ribosomal RNA", at positions 338 to 795 of the family's 1533-position model. The record is from RNAcentral.